GCUGGUGGCAUUGCUCGGUUGUAUACGACUUUGGUUGUAUACGACCUCGAGAAGCGUGUCAUUGCUCGUCAGAUUUGGUUGCACGACUUUUUUCGGUUUGACAUUUGGAUGUAAACAAACAAAGAAGGCAUAAACACAAAUAAAUCAGGUUCGCGAGUUAUCCGUUUCGACAAAAUAAGCGAGUUCAUCGUUUUUAACGAAAAAAGAAAAUUAAAUAAUGGAUUCUGAUACUGAACAAAAGAUUUUACGGAGUACGAGCCUCGCCUUGCGUUACUUAUUGUUGCAAAAACAAAGGCGGAAUGAAGUCAACAGUAUAUUUAAGGAUCGCAAGCUAAACGGGCAAUACUACGUGUUGUUUCCAAAACUUCAACAAGACGAACAGAAGUUUUUCGAAUAUAUGAGGAUGUCAAAAAGAACAUUUGACUACAUUUUGGGAAAGAUAGAACAUCUCAUCACAAAACAGCCCACACACGUUCCAUACAUUAGUCCAGAGGAGAGAUUCUUGCACUAAAGAGAUCAAAAAUUCUUCGUCAAUUACAGUUUUUGCCAUGGCGAUGUAGCUGUUUGUAGCAAAAUCACUUGUUUACAAAUAA
Long non-coding RNA from Anopheles stephensi (Asian malaria mosquito), 593 nucleotides. RefSeq lists it as uncharacterized. The record is from RefSeq and is a predicted model, not a curated record. The transcript has 2 exons. NCBI's taxonomy places the organism in Eukaryota, Metazoa, Arthropoda, Insecta, Diptera, Culicidae.